This 253-nucleotide ribosomal RNA is filed under the name uncultured bacterium. RNAcentral describes it as "partial 16S ribosomal RNA". It matches the Rfam family "Bacterial small subunit ribosomal RNA", at positions 524 to 776 of the family's 1533-position model. The record is from RNAcentral.
AACGGGAGGGGCAAGCGUUAUCCGGCAUAAUUGGGCGUAAAGAGUUCGUAGACUGUAAAAUAAGUUAUUAGUUAAAAAUUAAAGCUUAACUUUAAACCAGCUUUUAAUACUGUUUUACUUGAGUUUUGUACAGAAGAAUAGAAUUUUACAUGUAGGGGUGAAAUCCGAAAAUAUGUAAAGGAAUACCUGUUGGCGAAGGCGAUUCUUUAGUAAAAACUGACGUUGAGGAACGAAAGUAUGGGGAGCAAACAGG